This 275-nucleotide ribosomal RNA is filed under the name Vibrio cholerae. Its description in RNAcentral is "partial 23S ribosomal RNA". It matches the Rfam family "Bacterial large subunit ribosomal RNA", at positions 2199 to 2473 of the family's 2925-position model. The record is from RNAcentral. Lineage: Bacteria; Pseudomonadati; Pseudomonadota; Gammaproteobacteria; Vibrionales; Vibrionaceae.
ACCGCCCUGACUGUAUUGAAAUUCUAACCUACGGGUCUUAUCGACCCGGGAGACAGUGUCAGGUGGGCAGUUUGACUGGGGCGGUCGCCUCCUAAAGUGUAACGGAGGCGCCCAAAGGUUCCCUCAGAAUGGUUGGAAAUCAUUCGCAGAGUGUAAAGGUAUAAGGGAGCUUGACUGCGAGACCUACAAGUCGAGCAGGGACGAAAGUCGGGCUUAGUGAUCUGGUGGUACCGUAUGGAAGGGCCAUCACUCAACGGAUAAAAGCUAACCUCGGG